This 75-nucleotide transfer RNA is filed under the name Nanobdellota archaeon. RNAcentral's name for it is "tRNA-Glu". It matches the Rfam family "tRNA". Rfam says of the family: Transfer RNA (tRNA) molecules are approximately 80 nucleotides in length. Their secondary structure includes four short double-helical elements and three loops (D, anti-codon, and T loops). The record is from RNAcentral. Lineage: Archaea; Nanobdellati; Nanobdellota. RNAcentral also lists the same sequence under 1 other name.
GCCCUGGUCGUCUAGCCCGGUCAAGGAUAGAGCCCUCUCGAGGCUCUGACGCGAGUUCGAAUCUCGCCCGGGGCG